UAGGGAAUCUUCCGCAAUGGGCGAAAGCCUGACGGAGCAACGCCGCGUGAGUGAUGAAGGUCUUCGGAUCGUAAAACUCUGUUGUUAGAGAAGAACAAGGACGUUAGUAACUGAACGUCCCCUGACGGUAUCUAACCAGAAAGCCACGGCUAACUACGUGCCAGCAGCCGCGGUAAUACGUAGGUGGCAAGCGUUGUCCGGAUUUAUUGGGCGUAAAGCGAGCGCAGGCGGUUUCUUAAGUCUGAUGUGAAAGCCCCCGGCUCAACCGGGGAGGGUCAUUGGAAACUGGGAGACUUGAGUGCAGAAGAGGAGAGUGGAAUUCCAUGUGUAGCGGUGAAAUGCGUAGAUAUAUGGAGGAACACCAGUGGCGAAGGCGGCUCUCUGGUCUGUAACUGACGCUGAGGCUCGAAAGCGUGGGGAGCAAACAGG
This 429-nucleotide ribosomal RNA is filed under the name Gemmatimonadota bacterium. RNAcentral describes it as "Gemmatimonadetes bacterium partial 16S ribosomal RNA". It matches the Rfam family "Bacterial small subunit ribosomal RNA", at positions 355 to 776 of the family's 1533-position model. Lineage: Bacteria; Pseudomonadati; Gemmatimonadota. The record is from RNAcentral.